AAGGGGUUUUGAUNCCUGGCUCAGGAUGAACGCUGGCUACAGGCUUAACCACAUGCAAGUCGAGGGGAAACGACGGGGAAGCUUGCUUCCCCGGGCGUCGACCGGCGCACGGGUGAGUAACGCGUAUCCAACCUGCCUCUGACUGAGGGAUAACCCGUCGAAAGUCGGCCUAAUACCUCAUGGCAUCGUCUGCGGGCAUCCAACGACGAUUAAAGAUUUCAUCGGUCAGGGAUGGGGAUGCGUCUGAUUAGUUAGUUGGCGGGGUAACGGCCCACCAAGGCUACGAUCAGUAGGGGUUCUGAGAGGAAGGUCCCCCACAUUGGAACUGAGACACGGUCCAAACUCCUACGGGAGGCAGCAGUGAGGAAUAUUGGUCAAUGGGCGGGAGCCUGAACCAGCCAAGUAGCGUGCAGGAUGACGGCCCUAUGGGUUGUAAACUGCUUUUAUGCGGGGAUAAAGUGAGGGACGUGUCCUUCAUUGCAGGUACCGCAUGAAUAAGGACCGGCUAAUUCCGUGCCAGCAGCCGCGGUAAUACGGAAGGUCCGGGCGUUAUCCGGAUUUAUUGGGUUUAAAGGGAGCGUAGGCCGUGGAUUAAGCGUGUUGUGAAAUGCAGGUGCUCAACGUCUGCACUGCAGCGCGAACUGGUUCACUUGAGUGUGCGCAACGCAGGCGGAAUUCGUCGUGUAGCGGUGAAAUGCUUAGAUAUGACGAAGAACUCCGAUUGCGAAGGCAGCUUGCGGGAGCACAACUGACGCUGAAGCUCGAAAGUGCGGGUAUCGAACAGGAUUAGAUACCCUGGUAGUCCGCACGGUAAACGAUGGAUGCCCCGUUGUCAGGCUGUUUCAGCCUGGUGACCAAGCGAAAGCAUUAAGCAUCCCACCUGGGGGAGUACGCCGGCAACGGUGAAACUCAAAGGAAUUGACGGC
RNAcentral lists this ribosomal RNA (926 nucleotides) under uncultured bacterium. RNAcentral describes it as "bacterial SSU rRNA". It matches the Rfam family "Bacterial small subunit ribosomal RNA", at positions 1 to 917 of the family's 1533-position model. The record is from RNAcentral.